GACGAACGCUGGCGGCGUGCCUAAUACAUGCAAGUCGAACGAACCGCGACUAAGUGCUUGCACUAAGUCAAGGUGAGUGGCGAACGGGUGAGUAACACGUGGGUAACCUACCUCAUAGUGGGGGAUAACAGUCGGAAACGACUGCUAAUACCGCAUAGGACAUAGGAUCACAUGAUCCAGUGAGGAAAGGUGGCGCAAGCUAUCGCUAAGAGAUGGACCCGCGGUGCAUUAGCUAGUUGGUAGGGUAAAGGCCUACCAAGGCGAUGAUGCAUAGCUGACCUGAGAGGGUGAUCGGCCACAUUGGGACUGAGACACGGCCCAAACUCCUACGGGAGGCAGCAGUAGGGAAUCUUCCGCAAUGGACGCAAGUCUGACGGAGCAACGCCGCGUGAGUGAAGAAGGUCUUCGGAUCGUAAAGCUCUGUUGUUAGAGAAGAACAGCGCAUAGAGUAACUGCUAUGCGUGUGACGGUAUCUAACCAGAAAGCCACGGCUAACUACGUG
Molecule: ribosomal RNA, 502 nt
Filed under: uncultured bacterium
Lineage: Bacteria
Description: partial 16S ribosomal RNA
Rfam family: Bacterial small subunit ribosomal RNA
Source: RNAcentral